UACAGAGGUCCCAAGCGUUGUUCGGAUUCACUGGGCGUAAAGGGUGCGUAGGUGGUGAGGUAAGUCGGAUGUGAAAUCUCCGAGCUCGACUCGGAAACUGCAUUGGAAACUACCUUGCUCGAGGGUUGGAGGGGGGACUGGAAUGCUUGGUGUAGCAGUGAAAUGCGUAGAUAUCAAGCGGAACACCAGUGGCGAAGGCGAGUCCCUGGACAACUCCUGACACUGAUGCACGAAAGCUAGGGGAGCAAACAGG
This 253-nucleotide ribosomal RNA is filed under the name uncultured bacterium. RNAcentral's name for it is "partial 16S ribosomal RNA". It matches the Rfam family "Bacterial small subunit ribosomal RNA", at positions 524 to 776 of the family's 1533-position model. The record is from RNAcentral.